GUGAGGUGACUUUUUGGAAGGAGUAUAACUACGAAGGAGUAAGAAAUUAGGGGCAGUGUGAGAAAGAGGUGCUGCUGGCUGUGAAGUAAUGAAGGUGGUCAAUUGUUAGAACAAAAAUAAGCUAAUUCAACAGUGAACAUGAGAUGAGGAGUUAAAAAAUAAAUUGUUAACCAAUUGAUUUGACAGUGGGUAUGAACAUGGAUAGAGAGUUUUUAGCCCUGAAUAAAUGUGAGAGUUUCGAAAUGUGAAUGUGAGGCAUAAUGGGAAAAAAAAGUGAAAUUUUGAAAGUAGAUAAGAGCAAAUACAAAAGCAGUAGUAUGACAUUUACAAUGUUUCACAGGAACUAUAUGGUUAUGUGUGUAAUAGAAAGUAAAGUAAAGCUAAAAGUAGAGACUUUUAGCAGUAUUUGUUGAAAUACUUGUGAAUAUGUGCAAGCGAUAAUCAUUGUGACCUAUACGUUGGCGUGAAAGUGAGAAGUAGACUCACCUUUUACACCUUUUUCGUUGGUGUGGGUGGUUCAAAUUUUGGCAUUGGAUUUGAAGCAGCAGCUGCAGUAGUUGUUGCCAUGACUUCUACCUCACUUAUUUCCAAAGGUUUGAUCUUUUUAGAAGUCCUAUGAGUAGUGCUCUGUGGUGUAUGUGGUUUUUCGAUGUAGGAAAGAACGGAGAAGCUUGCAUGUGUGGUAUUUGAGCUGCUCCAAGAUGACUUCCUUAGUUGAAUUUCGAAUACUUUGUUUGACAGCAUUUCAUGGACAUGAGUAAGAGACAAUGAAUGUCGCUGUAAAUGUAACAAGUUGGAACAAAUAGUUUACAACAAAGCAUAUGUGCUAAAGUGUGUGUGCUGCGGAUAUAUGGUAUUAUGACAAUAGCUGGGUACAAGUAGGCAGUGGGAAUGAGAGAUAACCUUAGUGCAAGUUAUGUCAAAUAUGUCUUCUGCUGCCAUGCACAGUAAUUUUUCUCCUAAUUCAGCAGAGAUAGAUGUUGUGGUUGUAGCAGUGCCGUCAAUAAGAUCAAUUUGAAAGCUACAGCUGAAAUGAUGGAAUAGAAUGUAUGGAAAUCAGGAUAUGUUACAUUAAACAAAAGAUUCAAAGAUUCUAUUUCUUCUGUAAAGGGAAUAACAAAAUUAUUGGGAAUUUCAAUUUUGUUGCAGUUGUUAGUUUUCUCUUGUCCAUUUCCAAUUCUCAUUAAAUAUGCACAAAAUGCUGGAUCUUCUUUUUUGAAAUGACAAACAAUAACCAAACAGCAAAGGGACGCUGUAAUUUUAUGGUAUCGCAAGCACACAGCAGUCAUAAGGAUUUCUUUGAAUGUGAUUAAUAUGAAUGUGAGCAACAGUGGUCCUAUUGAAAAGUCAACAGUCCAACUUUGGUUUUUUGGUCUGAACGACACUUUGAUUGGAUGUGAGGUGAUAUUUUGGAAGGAGUAUAAAUACGAAGGAGUAAGAAAUUAGGGGCAGUGUGAGAAAGAGGUGUUGCUAACUGUGAAGUAAUGAAGGUGGUCAAUUGUUAGAACAAAAAUAAGCUAAUUCAACAGUGAACAUGAGAUGAGGAGUUAAAAAUAAAUUGUUAACCAAUUGAUUUGACAGUGGGUAUGAACAUGGAUAGAGAGUUUUUAGCCCUGAAUAAAUGUGAGAGUUUCGAAUGUGAUGUGAGGCAUAAAUGGG
RNAcentral lists this long non-coding RNA (1659 nucleotides) under Solanum tuberosum (potato). Its description in RNAcentral is "long non-coding RNA (STUB_LNC003154)". The record is from RNAcentral. Lineage: Eukaryota; Viridiplantae; Streptophyta; Magnoliopsida; Solanales; Solanaceae.